Non-coding RNA from Danio rerio (zebrafish), 89 nucleotides. The record is from Rfam. Lineage: Eukaryota; Metazoa; Chordata; Actinopteri; Cypriniformes; Danionidae.
GGCUCUGUGGCGCAAUGGAUAGUGCAUUGGACUUCUAGGCUGUGAGCUGAGCCAUUCAAAGGUUGUGGGUUCAAGUCCCACCUGAUUCG